AGAGUUUGAUCAUGGCUCAGAUUGAACGCUGGCGGCAUGCCUUACACAUGCAAGUCGAACGGUAACAGGGAGCUUGCUCCGCUGACGAGUGGCGAACGGGUGAGUAAUAUAUCGGAACGUGCCCUAGAGUGGGGGAUAACUAGUCGAAAGAUUAGCUAAUACCGCAUACGAUCUAAGGAUGAAAGUGGGGGCUCGCAAGACCUCAUGCUCGUGGAGCGGCCGAUAUCUGAUUAGCUAGUUGGUAGGGUAAAAGCCUACCAAGGCAUCGAUCAGUAGCUGGUCUGAGAGGACGACCAGCCACACUGGGACUGAGACACGGCCCAGACUCCUACGGGAGGCAGCAGUGGGGAAUUUUGGACAAUGGGCGCAAGCCUGAUCCAGCAAUGCCGCGUGAGUGAAGAAGGCCUUCGGGUUGUAAAGCUCUUUUGUCAGGGAAGAAACGAUCCGAUCUAAUACAUUGGGUUAAUGAUGGUACCUGAAGAAUAAGCACCGGCUAACUACGUGCCAGCAGCCGCGGUAAUACGUAGGGUGCAAGCGUUAAUCGGAAUUACUGGGCGUAAAGCGUGCGCAGGCGGUUAUGUAAGACAGAUGUGAAAUGCCCGGGCUUAACCUGGGAACUGCAUUUGUGACUGCAUGGCUAGAGUGUGUCAGAGGGGGGUAGAAUUCCACGUGUAGCAGUGAAAUGCGUAGAUAUGUGGAGGAAUACCGAUGGCGAAGGCAGCCCCCUGGGAUAACACUGACGCUCAUGCACGAAAGCGUGGGGAGCAGACAGGAUUAGAUACCCUGGUAGUCCACGCCCUAAACGAUGUCUACUAGUUGUCGGGUCUUAAUUGACUUGGUAACGCAGCUAACGCGUGAAGUAGACCGCCUGGGGAGUACGGUCGCAAGAUUAAAACUCAAAGGAAUUGACGGGGACCCGCACAAGCGGUGGAUGAUGUGGAUUAAUUCGAUGCAACGCGAAAAACCUUACCUACCCUUGACAUGUCAGAGAGCUCGAAGAGAUUUGAGUGUGCUCGAAAGAGAAUCUGAACACAGGUGCUGCAUGGCUGUCGUCAGCUCGUGUCGUGAGAUGUUGGGUUAAGUCCCGCAACGAGCGCAACCCUUGUCAUUAGUUGCUACGAAAGGGCACUCUAAUGAGACUGCCGGUGACAAACCGGAGGAAGGUGGGAUGACGUCAAGUCCUCAUGGCCCUUAUGGGUAGGGCUUCACACGUCAUGCAAUGGUACAUACAGAGGGCCGCCAACCCGCGAGGGGGAGCUAAUCCCAGAAAGUGUAUCGUAGUCCGGAUUGGAGUCUGCAACUCGACUCCAUGAAGUUGGAAUCGCUAGUAAUCGCGGAUCAGCAUGUCGCGGUGAAUACGUUCCCGGGUCUUGUACACACCGCCCGUCACACCAUGGGAGCGGGUUUUACCAGAAGUAGGUAGCCUAACCGUAAGGAGGGCGCUUACCACGGUAGGAUUCGUGACUGGGGUGAAGUCGUAACAAGGUA
RNAcentral lists this ribosomal RNA (1488 nucleotides) under metagenome. Its description in RNAcentral is "bacterial SSU rRNA". It matches the Rfam family "Bacterial small subunit ribosomal RNA". The record is from RNAcentral.